GACGAACGCUGGCGGCGUGCCUAAUACAUGCAAGUAGAACGCUGAAGAGAGGAGCUUGCUCUUCUUGGAUGAGUUGCGAACGGGUGAGUAACGCGUAGGUAACCUGCCUGGUAGCGGGGGAUAACUAUUGGAAACGAUAGCUAAUACCGCAUGAAAUGGAUUAUCGCAUGAUAAUUCAUUGAAAGGUGCAAAUGCAUCACUACCAGAUGGACCUGCGUUGUAUUAGCUAGUUGGUGGGGUAACGGCUCACCAAGGCGACGAUACAUAGCCGACCUGAGAGGGUGAUCGGCCACACUGGGGCUGAGACACGGCCCAGACUCCUACGGGAGGCAGCAGUAGGGAAUCUUCGGCAAUGGACGGAAGUCUGACCGAGCAACGCCGCGUGAGUGAAGAAGGUUUUCGGAUCGUAAAGCUCUGUUGUAAGAGAAGAACGAGUGGAGAGGGAAAGUUCACAC
This 455-nucleotide ribosomal RNA is filed under the name Streptococcus sp. oral taxon 071. Its description in RNAcentral is "bacterial SSU rRNA". It matches the Rfam family "Bacterial small subunit ribosomal RNA", at positions 28 to 469 of the family's 1533-position model. Lineage: Bacteria; Bacillati; Bacillota; Bacilli; Lactobacillales; Streptococcaceae. The record is from RNAcentral.